CUACGGGCUGCACCAGUGGGGAAUAUUGCACAAUGGGCGCAAGCCUGAUGCAGCCAUGCCGCGUGUAUGAAGAAGGCCUUCGGGUUGUAAAGUACUUUCAGCGGGGAGGAAGGGAGUAAAGUUAAUACCUUUGCUCAUUGACGUUACCCGCAGAAGAAGCACCGGCGAACUCCGUGCCAGGCAGCCGCGGUAAUACGGAGGGUGCAAGCGUUAAUCGGAAUUACUGGGCGUAAAGCGCACGCAGGCGGUUUGUUAAGUCAGAUGUGAAAUCCCCGGGCUCAACCUGGGAACUGCAUCUGAUACUGGCAAGCUUGAGUCUCGUAGAGGGGGGUAGAAUGCCAGGUGUAGCGGUGAAAUGCGUAGAGAUCUGGAGGAAUACCGGUGGCGAAGGCGGCCCCCUGGACGAAGACUGACGCUCAGGUGCGAAAGCGUGGGGAGCAAACAGGAUUAGAUACCCCGGUAGUC
Molecule: ribosomal RNA, 465 nt
Filed under: uncultured bacterium
Lineage: Bacteria
Description: partial 16S ribosomal RNA
Rfam family: Bacterial small subunit ribosomal RNA
Source: RNAcentral